UUUACGUGCCCGUUGUCUUCA
This 21-nucleotide non-coding RNA is filed under the name Caenorhabditis elegans. Lineage: Eukaryota; Metazoa; Nematoda; Chromadorea; Rhabditida; Rhabditidae. The record is from RNAcentral.